CCUACGGGUGGCUGCAGUGAGGGAUAUUGCACAAUGGUGGAAACCCUGAUGCAGCGACGCCGCGUGUGGGAGGACGGUCCUCUGGAUUGUAAACCACUGUUGCCAGGGACGAAGAUGACGGUACCUUGGGAGGAAGCUCGGGCGAACUACGUGCCAGCAGCCGCGGUAAUUCGGAGGGAGCGAGCGUUGUCCGGAAUUACUGGGUGUAAGGGGAGCGUAGGCGGGCCUGAAAGUUGGGUGUAAAAUCUACCGGCUCAACCGGUAGCCGCACUCAAAACUGCAGUUCUUGAGUGAAGUAGAGGCAGGCGGAAUUCCUAGUGUAGCGGUGAAAUGCGUAGAUAUUAGGAGGAACACCAGUGGCGAAGGCGGCCUGCUGGGCUUUUACUGACGCUGAGGCUCGAAAGUGUGGGGAGCAAACAGGAUUAGAUACCCUUGUAGUC
This 440-nucleotide ribosomal RNA is filed under the name uncultured bacterium. Its description in RNAcentral is "partial 16S ribosomal RNA". It matches the Rfam family "Bacterial small subunit ribosomal RNA", at positions 338 to 795 of the family's 1533-position model. The record is from RNAcentral.